AAUCGGGGAGGGAUCACUCGCACGGAGUACCUCGCAACCCCAUGUGAACCUCUACCGAACGUUGCCUCGGCGGGACGCGUCCCGGCCCCGCCCCUUCUACGGGGUGCCGGAGCCGAGGCCCGCCCGCCGGGGGACCCCAACCAUAAACUCUGCAUAUAUCAUGGCAUGUCUGAGUGGAUUUAGUAUCAAAUGAAUCAAAACUUUCAACAACGGAUCUCUUGGUUCUGGCAUCGAUGAAGAACGCAGCGAAAUGCGAUAAGUAAUGUGAAUUGCAGAAUUCAGUGAAUCAUCGAAUCUUUGAACGCACAUUGCGCCCGCCAGUACUCUGGCGGGCAUGCCUGUUCGAGCGUCAUUUCAACCCUCAAGCCCCCGGGUUUGGUGUUGGCGACCGGCACACGGUUGGGAGGGGCCACGUGCCCCCCCCACUCCGCGCCGUCGCCCAAAUGGAUCGGCGGCCACGCCGCGGCAUCCCCUGCGCAGUAACAUACCACCUCGCAGGCGGCGGCCCGGCCCGGUCUCUGCCGUAAAACCCCCAACUUUCUCAAGAGUUGACCUCGAAUCAGGUAGGAAUACCCGCUGAACUUAAGCAUAUCAAAAGCCCGGAAGAAAGAUCAUUACCGAGU
This 623-nucleotide ribosomal RNA is filed under the name Claviceps gigantea. RNAcentral describes it as "eukaryotic LSU rRNA". The stretch from base 199 to 352 matches the Rfam family "5.8S ribosomal RNA". Lineage: Eukaryota; Fungi; Ascomycota; Sordariomycetes; Hypocreales; Clavicipitaceae. The record is from RNAcentral.